Molecule: long non-coding RNA, 2083 nt
Organism: Cucumis sativus (cucumber)
Lineage: Eukaryota; Viridiplantae; Streptophyta; Magnoliopsida; Cucurbitales; Cucurbitaceae
Exons: 2
Source: RefSeq, a predicted model, not a curated record
GCUUUUGCUUUGUUUAGAGCAUCCUUCCCCAAGAUGAAACCCUUCGCAAGCAUUGUACUUACGACGUCUUCAGCCUGAUUCGGAGCAAUCCCAGUAACCGUUUGCCUUUUAUCCUUCAAAAGAUCAGAACAAUUUUAAGACAGGAAACAACAACGAGGAGACGUUUUAUGCUCAUCAUAUAAAGGGGAGAAAUUACCAGGAUUGACGACAUUGCUUCAGGUGGAAGAUGGUAAUUCUCAACCAAAGUAAUUGUUACAGAUAGAUCACCAAUUUUAGCUCCCUAAAAGAUAAAAAAAGAGAGAAUGAAAACAAAAACUAACAUAACUAUUAACUAUAAAAAUAAAUAAUUAAAGAGAGCAAUGUUGGGUACGUAAUUAAAGAAACAUACUGUCAAAAGUAUUGCAGUAUCAGCUCCUUGAGAAUCCUUAUAUGUAACAUAAGCAACCUGAGUGUUCUCACUUUCUCUACACCAAUAAAUAAUAACAAUCAAAUAAAACCAACAGUUGCAAUUAUAGCAAUCACCUCCAAAAUCCUUCUACAAACACAAUAUAAAAAGAUUUACAAAUAUACUAAAAUUUAAACUCAACCAUAUUCCCAAUAGGAGCUUGUCAGCAUUACAUUUUGUAAUGUUUGUAAUCCUCUAAAAAUGCUUAAUCAGUACCACUUACUCAUCACAACUAUCCUAAAAAAGUAUUGUGACCAAAACAGUAUUUUAUAAUAAGAAAUAAUCAAAUUCUCCGGCAUGAGUUUGCCAAAUAAAUAAAAAAGAUAGAAUAUUAUCACUAACCUUUGCAUUUCAACGUAAAGGAUUUCCCCAGAGAAUGAAAAGAAUUCUUUGAUAUCUCUCUCAGAAGUAAGUUUUGAGAUAUUGCUGACUUUGACAGUUCUCAUCUAAAAACAAAAACAAAAACAAAAAAUUGUAUAAAGAAAUGCAAAAGUGUUUAUCUUCUUAUGAAUUAAGAAAAUGUUCAAAUGUUUUUUUCAAUUCAGUGGUUUCACAUAAUAGCAAAAGUCUAAGGUUAUGAAUUCUAACUUCCACACAAUAUUAUUUCAUUCUUCAAAUUAAACCCUAAAGAAUAAAUAUAAAAAAGAGAAAGUAUGCAAUGUCAUAUAUCCAAUCAGCAGAAAACUGAGGAAAAUGUCAUAUCUACGAACUCAAUUUUGAGUCACUCCGAAGAUAUAUCUUAAUGAAUAAGAAACCAGAAAUAGGGAAUUAACAUUGAAAAAUUCGAUGGUUGGAUCGUCGACAAGGUAAUAGUUGAAAUGAACACAUGUGUUUUGAGUUUAGUAGUAGUGAUUUAACAGUUAAUAAUUUAAAAUUCAUUGAGUUUUCAUCAUCAAAGUGAAAAGAAAGUAAGCUGAGAUUGAGGCAACUAAAUUCAUAAACAGAAGGAAAGAAGGAAGAGAGUGUUUUGUUGAUGAUAAAUUGGAAUUGAAAAAGAAAAUGUAAGUGAAAUUUGUGUGGGCAAAAGAAUGAGAAAGAGAAAAGUACUGUAGAAACAGAGAUGUUGAAAAUGAAAAACCCUAAUAAGAACAUUAAAAUUGGAAUUCCAGAAAUGGGGAUUGAGUAUUAAGAGAAGAAGAAAAAGAAGAGUAAUAGUAAAACAUAAAUGCGGCAGGCAGAUCUGCAUCAAAGAUUCACACAUGAAGAAGAAGAAGAACUCACCGACAUUUCUGAAAAUGAAAAGAAAGAAUACAAAGAUGAAGAAAUGGUUUGGAUGAGAUGGAGCGGCGGAGAGAAGAGAAGAAAAGGGAAUGGUUGAAGAAGAUGAAAUGAAGAAAGUGUUUGUUGUCUCUUAACCUUCGGAUUUCUGGAAACGGAUACGGUUUUUUGUUUUUCAUUUUAGAUUUAGAAGAAGAAGAUACCCAAACAAAAAAACAAAAUAAAAACAAAAAACAAAUGGAUUUUAAACUGUUGACUUUAUUAUUAUGAUUAAACACAAGUGGAGCCAACUGGAUUAUAUUUCAUUUUAUCCAAUUUUUCUUUUCUUUUCUUUUCUUUUCUUUUUGUUAAAGAGUACAAUAGAGAGAAAGACUAGAGGUGUGUUCAAGAAAAUGGAAUAUAUGGACCCAAUUGAAGUUA